RNAcentral lists this ribosomal RNA (736 nucleotides) under uncultured bacterium. Its description in RNAcentral is "bacterial SSU rRNA". It matches the Rfam family "Bacterial small subunit ribosomal RNA", at positions 64 to 775 of the family's 1533-position model. The record is from RNAcentral.
ACGCUGAUUUGUCGGUAGCAAUAUUGGCAAGUCGGAGUGGCGCAAGGGUGCGUAACACGUGGGCAAUCUGCCGUGAAGCCCGGAAUAACUCGCUGAAAGGCGAGCUAAUGCCGGAUGUGAAAGUCGGGAGGCAUCUUUUGACUUUCAAAGCUGGGGACCGCAAGGCCUGGCACUUCACGAUGAGCCCGCGGCCUAUCAGCUAGUUGGUGAGGUAACGGCUCACCAAGGCUUAGACGGGUAGCUGGUCUGAGAGGACGACCAGCCACACUGGAACUGAGACACGGUCCAGACACCUACGGGUGGCAGCAGUCGAGAAUUUUUCUCAAUGGGCGAAAGCCUGAAGGAGCGACGCCGCGUGGGGGAUGAAUGGCUUCGGCCCGUAAACCCCUGUCAUUCGCGAACAAAUUAUUUUACCCAACACGUAAAGUAUUGAUAGUAGCGGAAGAGGAAGGGACGGCUAACUCUGUGCCAGCAGCCGCGGUAAUACAGAGGUCCCAAGCGUUGUUCGGAUUCACUGGGCGUAAAGGGUGCGUAGGCGGUCGGGUAAGUCUGAUGUGAAAUCCCGCAGCUCAACUGCGGAACGGCAUUGGAUACUAUCCGGCUCGAGGAGUGGAGGGGAGACUGGAAUUCUCGGUGUAGCAGUGAAAUGCGUAGAUAUCGAGAGGAACACCUGUGGCGAAGGCGAGUCUCUGGACACUUCCUGACGCUGAGGCACGAAAGCCAGGGGAGCAAACGG